This 460-nucleotide ribosomal RNA is filed under the name uncultured bacterium. RNAcentral describes it as "partial 16S ribosomal RNA". It matches the Rfam family "Bacterial small subunit ribosomal RNA", at positions 338 to 795 of the family's 1533-position model. The record is from RNAcentral.
CCUACGGGUGGCAGCAGUGAGGAAUAUUGGUCAAUGGGCGCGAGCCUGAACCAGCCAAGUAGCGUGAAGGAUGACUGCCCUACGGGUUGUAAACUUCUUUUAUAAGGGAAUAAAGUGAGGCACGUGUCCCGUUUUGUAUGUACUUUAUGAAUAAGGAUCGGCUAACUCCGUGCCAGCAGCCGCGGUAAUACGGAGGAUCCGAGCGUUAUCCGGAUUUAUUGGGUUUAAAGGGAGCGUAGGUGGGUUGUUAAGUCAGUAGUGAAAGUUCGCGGCUCAACCGUAGAAGUGCUAUUGAUACUGGCGGUCUUGAGUGCAGUUGAGGCAAGCGGAAUUCGUGGUGUAGCGGUGAAAUGCUUAGAUAUCACGAAGAACACCGAUUGCGAAGGCAGCUUACUAGACUGCAACUGACAUUGAUGCACGAAAGCGUGGGUAGCAAACAGGAUUAGAUACCCUGGUAGUC